UGAACGCUGGCGGUAGGCCUAACACAUGCAAGUCGAACGGCAGCACAGUAAGAGCUUGCUCUUACGGGUGGCGAGUGGCGGACGGGUGAGGAAUACAUCGGAAUCUACUUUUUCGUGGGGGAUAACGUAGGGAAACUUACGCUAAUACCGCAUACGACCUACGGGUGAAAGCAGGGGAUCUUCGGACCUUGCGCGUUUGAAUGAGCCGAUGUCGGAUUAGCUAGUUGGCGGGGUAAAGGCCCACCAAGGCGACGAUCCGUAGCUGGUCUGAGAGGAUGAUCAGCCACACUGGAACUGAGACACGGUCCAGACUCCUACGGGAGGCAGCAGUGGGGAAUAUUGGACAAUGGGCGCAAGCCUGAUCCAGCCAUACCGCGUGGGUGAAGAAGGCCUUCGGGUUGUAAAGCCCUUUUGUUGGGAAAGAAAAGCAGCAGGUUAAUACCCCGCUGUUCUGACGGUACCCAAAGAAUAAGCACCGGCUAACUUCGUG
Molecule: ribosomal RNA, 490 nt
Filed under: uncultured bacterium
Lineage: Bacteria
Description: partial 16S ribosomal RNA
Rfam family: Bacterial small subunit ribosomal RNA
Source: RNAcentral